Molecule: long non-coding RNA, 671 nt
Organism: Ochotona princeps (American pika)
Lineage: Eukaryota; Metazoa; Chordata; Mammalia; Lagomorpha; Ochotonidae
Exons: 3
Source: RefSeq, a predicted model, not a curated record
AGUGGUGGCACCUCAGCCCCAGGAGGCUGCGAACUUGGGCAGAAGCGAUUUGCAACUUUGUCUCCAUCUCAAAUGCACUCUGGGACGCCGUGACAGUAUCCCUCCCCUCUUACUCCCUCAUCACCUGGGGGCGGCAGGUGCGGGGGUCGUGCCUGGGCCAGCCGCACCACCUCCUCCGGCGAGGAGACCCGAGCCCCUCUGCUUGCUGCAGAACCCGGGGCUGCCGUCACCCUCCCGCCCCGCCAGCCCAGGCGCGCCCCGGGCGCAGCGCCACCCAUGGGUUACCACAAAGGCUGUGGAUGCCAGCUGUGCAGCCACAAAUAUGGCAGACCCACCAUCAGUCUGUACCUUGACAACACUGGAGCUCAGCUCCAGCCAAACCCUGCUGGCCAGCUCAACGACAAUUACAGAAACUGCUGUCUCAUAUAAGUGCUUCAGAUGAAACGAUGUGAAAGAGCAAGAAGUGCCUCAGACCAAGUCCAGGACAAGGGUAGACAGUGUCCAGCCUUGUCCAAGGUCCAAUAACAUGUGGAGACCCUGAGGGAGUGGCAAUCGGGAAUUUGCAGUGUGUGGCUAUUCAUGGUUGGCCCUGAUAGCUCUUGCCACUUACAGGACACCUUAGUCCCCACUCCCAUCGCCUCAUCCCACCCUCUAGCCUUCCAGUCUCCCUG